AAUGAACGCUGGCGGCAUGCCUAACACAUGCAAGUCGAACGGAGGCUUCGGCCUUAGUUGCGCACGGGUGCGUAACGCGUGGGAAUCGGCACUCAGGCUCGGAAUAACUGCGAGAAACUGCUGCUAAUACCGGUGGAUAGAGCGUGAAUAAAGAUUUAUAGCCUGAGGAUGGGCCCGCGUAGGAUUAGCUAGCUGGUGUGGUAAAGGCGCACCAAGGGGACGAUCCUUAGCUGGUCUGGGAGGAUAAUCAGCCACACUGGGACUGAGACACGGCCCAGACUCCUACGGGAGUCAGUGGUGGAGAAUAUGGGACAAUGGGCGAAAGCCUGAUCUAGCAAUGCCACGUGAGUUAUGAAUGCCUUAGAGUUGUAAAGCUCUUUUUCUCGGGAUGAUAAUGACAGUACCGUGAGAAUAAGCUCCGGCUAACUCCGUGCCAGCCGCCGCGGUAA
This 449-nucleotide ribosomal RNA is filed under the name uncultured bacterium. RNAcentral's name for it is "partial 16S ribosomal RNA". It matches the Rfam family "Bacterial small subunit ribosomal RNA", at positions 29 to 523 of the family's 1533-position model. The record is from RNAcentral.